Molecule: ribosomal RNA, 473 nt
Filed under: uncultured bacterium
Lineage: Bacteria
Description: SSU rRNA
Rfam family: Bacterial small subunit ribosomal RNA
Source: RNAcentral
AGGACGAACGCUUGCGACGUGCCUAAGAAAUGCAAGUCGAACGGACCAGCAGCAAUGCUGGUUAGUGGCGAACGGUCGCGUAACACGUGGGCAACCUGCCCUGAAGCGGGGGACAACAACUCGAAAGAGUUGCUAAUACCGCAUGUGUAUCGCUGUGGCAUCACAGAGGAUACAAAGCCGCAAGGCACUUCAGGAUGGGCCCGCGGCCUAUCAGCUAGUUGGUGAGGUAACGGCCCACCAAGGCUUCGACGGGUAGCUGGUCUGAGAGGACGAUCAGCCGGAUUGGGACUGAGAUACGGCCCAGACUCCUACGGGGGGCAGCAAUUAGGAAUCUUGCGCAAUGGGCGAAAGCCUGACGCAGCGACGUCGCGUGAAGGAUGAAAUCUUUCGGGAUGUAAACUUCUUUUACCAGGGAAGAAUAAUGACGGUACCUGGUGAAUAAGCCCGGCUAACUACGUGCCAGCAGCCGCGGU